GUAGGGGGCAAGCGUUGUCCGGAAUCAUUGGGCGUAAAGCGCGCGUAGGCGGCCCGGUAAGUCCGCUCUGAAAGUCCAAGGCUCAACCUUGGGAUGCGGGUGGAUACUGCCGGGCUAGAGUCCGGAAGAGGCGAGUGGAAUUCCUGGUGUAGCGGUGGAAUGCGCAGAUAUCAGGAGGAACACCAAUAGCGAAGGCAGCUCGCUGGGACGGUACUGACGCUAAGGCGCGAAAGCGUGGGGAGCGAACAGGAUUAGAUACCCUGGUAGUCCACGCCGUAAACGAUGGGCAUUAGGUGUGGGAGGUGUCGACUCCUCCCGUGCCGUCGCUAACGCAUUAAAUGCCCCGCCUGGGGAGUACGGCCGCAAGGCUAAA
RNAcentral lists this ribosomal RNA (373 nucleotides) under uncultured bacterium. RNAcentral describes it as "bacterial SSU rRNA". It matches the Rfam family "Bacterial small subunit ribosomal RNA", at positions 527 to 898 of the family's 1533-position model. The record is from RNAcentral.